AAUCCAUGCAUUAGGCAUUUCUAAAGUAGUUCUUUAAAUCUUUCCAGGCUUCGUACAAUGUUUCAUAUUCUGAUUGCCGAAAAAACAUGAUUUCAUUUCUAAGAUU
Molecule: small nucleolar RNA, 106 nt
Filed under: Gossypium hirsutum (cotton)
Lineage: Eukaryota; Viridiplantae; Streptophyta; Magnoliopsida; Malvales; Malvaceae
Description: Plant small nucleolar RNA R71
Rfam family: Plant small nucleolar RNA R71
About the family: R71 is a member of the C/D box family of snoRNAs containing the C (UGAUGA) and D (CUGA) box motifs. Multiple nearly identical copies of this snoRNA have been identified in Arabidopsis, and it is thought to function as a 2'-O-ribose methylation guide for 18S ribosomal RNA.
Source: Rfam by way of RNAcentral